This 465-nucleotide ribosomal RNA is filed under the name uncultured bacterium. Its description in RNAcentral is "partial 16S ribosomal RNA". It matches the Rfam family "Bacterial small subunit ribosomal RNA", at positions 28 to 507 of the family's 1533-position model. The record is from RNAcentral.
GACGAACGCUGGCGGCGUGCUUAACACAUGCAAGUCGAACGGAAAGGCCCUGCUUGCCGGGUACUCGAGUGGCGAACGGGUGAGUAACACGUGGGUGAUCUGCCCUGCACUUCGGGAUAAGCCUGGGAAACUGGGUCUAAUACCGGAUAGGAGCCAUUUUUAGUGUGAUGGUUGGAAAGUUUUUUCGGUGUAGGAUGAGCUCGCGGCCUAUCGGCUUGUUGGUGGGGUAAUGGCCUACCAAGGCGGCGACGGGUAGCCGGCCUGAGAGGGUGGGCGGCCACAUUGGGACUGAGAUACGGCCCAGACUCCUACGGGAGGCAGCAGUGGGGAAUAUUGCACAAUGGGCGCAAGCCUGAUGCAGCGACGCCGCGUGGGGGAUGACGGCCUUCGGGUUGUAAACUCCUUUCGCUAGGGACGAAGCUUUUUGUGACGGUACCUAGAUAAGAAGCACCGGCUAACUACGUG